This is a non-coding RNA of Prunus mume (Japanese apricot), 1645 nucleotides long. The record is from RefSeq and is a predicted model, not a curated record. NCBI's taxonomy places the organism in Eukaryota, Viridiplantae, Streptophyta, Magnoliopsida, Rosales, Rosaceae.
UCAGACGGUCACCGACUCACUCUCAGUUCACAAAUCACAACCUUUUCCAAGCGUUUUGGGGGCCACAAAACUCAAAACCAAUCAAAACCCAAUACUCAAAAUCCAACAAUGGACUCCAUAGGCGUGCUCAUGCCAGUUCCAAUGUCCACAUAUUUAGAGCAAGAGCUCGAGAAGCGCUUCAACCUCUUGAAGCUCUGGACCGUCCCUCAAAAAACCCAGUUCCUCAAGGACCAUUCCGGCUCCAUCCGAGCCGUCGUCGGUAAUGCAGGGAACGGAGCGGACGCCGAGCUCAUCGAGACUUUGCCGAAGCUGGAGAUCGUGGCCAGUUUCAGCGUUGGGAUCGAUAAGGUCGAUUUGAACAAGUGCAGGGAAAAGGGUAUUCGGGUCACCAACACGCCCGAUGUUUUGACCGAUGACGUGGCGGACCUUGCUAUUGGGUUGGCGUUGGCUGUGUUGAGAAGGCUCUGUGAGAGUGAUCGGUAUCUGAGGAGUGGGCAGUGGAAGAAGGGUGACUACAAGUUGACCACCAAGUUCACUGGAAAAACAGUUGGCAUCCUCGGUCUGGGAAGAAUUGGCAAAGCAGUUGCCAAGAGAGCUGAGGCUUUUAGCUGCCCAAUCUCUUACCACUCCAGAACAGAAAAACCAGAGUUGAAGUACAAAUACUAUCCAUGUGUUGUAGAGUUGGCCUCGAACUGUGAUAUUCUGGUUGUUGUGUGCGCAUUAACUGACGAGACCCGUCACAUUAUUAAUCGUGAAGUCAUUGAUGCUUUGGGCCCAAAGGGUGUUCUCAUUAACAUUGGGAGGGGUCCUCAUGUUGAUGAACCUGAGAUGGUCUCUGCUCUGCUAGAAGGUCGGUUAGGUGGUGCUGGACUUGAUGUUUAUGAAAAUGAACCAGAAGUACCUGAGCAGUUGUUUGAGCUUGAGAAUGUGGUACUCUUGCCUCAUGUAGGAAGUGACACUGUACAAACUGACACUGCCAUGGCUGACCUUGUGAUUGGGAAUCUUGAGGCUCACUUUUCGAACAAACCAUUGUUGACACCAGUCGUUUAACAGAGUAUUUGAAGGUAAAGUUGAUUGAAGGCUUCAUUGUCUUGUUCUGGUACCAAAACUUCUUCAAUCCAUGACCAUUUUUUCAAGAGUUGGCAAAGAAUCUUGUAUUGUGUGUUUUGAAGAAUGGGGGAUUUCAUCCUUCACUUGCAAGUGCUUGGAACCUCCAACGAAUACAACAAUCUGAAGUAUCCAUUAAGUGGUGGAUACCCUCAAUCGGCAAGAUCUCCUUUACCCUAUGAAGAGUCUGUAAUUUCAAAAUGCCCUAAAAAGAGAGAAAUAAGAGAUGAGAGGAGAGAGAAGAGAAUUAAAGUGAUGAAAUUACCCUUGCACUCAGUCGUAGGUUUGAUAAAAGGAAAUGAAAUAAUUGGUGGGGUGGUUUUGGUGGGGUGUGUGUAGGGGUGAGGGCCCAAAAAGUAAUUCCAGCAACUCGGGUUGGCAGGGCAGCUGCUGGGGCCCACAAAACCAGGCCAGCCCUCAGGCGAGAGUAGCCCUAGUUCAAGUCCGAGUUUGCUAAAGUCAGCAACAAUUUAAAAAAAAAUCUACAAAAUAAUUCAGAUUUUUUUUAAAAAUAAAUUUUUAGUCAUAGUUUUCGCUU